GGGGCUAGCGUUGCUCGGAAUCACUGGGCGUAAAGCGCACGUAGGCGGCUUCUUAAGUCAGGGGUGAAAUCCUGGAGCUCAACUCCAGAACUGCCUUUGAUACUGAGAAGCUUGAGUCCGGGAGAGGUGAGUGGAACUGCGAGUGUAGAGGUGAAAUUCGUAGAUAUUCGCAAGAACACCAGUGGCGAAGGCGGCUCACUGGCCCGGUACUGACGCUGAGGUGCGAAAGCGUGGGGAGCAAACAGG
RNAcentral lists this ribosomal RNA (246 nucleotides) under uncultured bacterium. RNAcentral describes it as "partial 16S ribosomal RNA". It matches the Rfam family "Bacterial small subunit ribosomal RNA", at positions 531 to 776 of the family's 1533-position model. The record is from RNAcentral.